RNAcentral lists this ribosomal RNA (468 nucleotides) under uncultured bacterium. RNAcentral's name for it is "partial 16S ribosomal RNA". It matches the Rfam family "Bacterial small subunit ribosomal RNA", at positions 28 to 507 of the family's 1533-position model. The record is from RNAcentral.
GACGAACGCUGGCGGCGUGCUUAACACAUGCAAGUCGAACGGAAAGGCCCUGCUUUUGUGGGGUGCUCGAGUGGCGAACGGGUGAGUAACACGUGAGUAACCUGCCCUUGACUUUGGGAUAACUUCAGGAAACUGGGGCUAAUACCGGAUAGGAGCUCCUGCUGCAUGGUGGGGGUUGGAAAGUUUCGGCGGUUGGGGAUGGACUCGCGGCUUAUCAGCUUGUUGGUGGGGUAGUGGCUUACCAAGGCUUUGACGGGUAGCCGGCCUGAGAGGGUGACCGGCCACAUUGGGACUGAGAGACGGCCCAGACGCCUACGGGAGGCAGCAGUGGGGAAUAUUGCACAAUGGGCGGAAGCCUGAGGCAGCAACGCCGGGUGCGGGAUGCCGGCCUUCGGGUUGUAAACCGCUUUCGCCUGUGACGAAGCGUGAGUGACGGUAAUGGGUAAAGAAGCACCGGCUAACUACGUG